AGUAGUUAAGUGCUUGGUUGCUAACCAAAAGGUUGGUGGUUUGAACCCACCAGCUACUC
This is a transfer RNA of Loxodonta africana (African savanna elephant), 59 nucleotides long. It matches the Rfam family "tRNA". Rfam says of the family: Transfer RNA (tRNA) molecules are approximately 80 nucleotides in length. Their secondary structure includes four short double-helical elements and three loops (D, anti-codon, and T loops). Lineage: Eukaryota; Metazoa; Chordata; Mammalia; Proboscidea; Elephantidae. The record is from Rfam.